Molecule: unclassified non-coding RNA, 18 nt
Filed under: Mus musculus (house mouse)
Lineage: Eukaryota; Metazoa; Chordata; Mammalia; Rodentia; Muridae
Description: oocyte_clustered_small_RNA4507
Source: RNAcentral
GUAGAUUGCUUUAGGUAG